This is a long non-coding RNA of Myotis brandtii (Brandt's bat), 1006 nucleotides long. RefSeq lists it as uncharacterized. NCBI's taxonomy places the organism in Eukaryota, Metazoa, Chordata, Mammalia, Chiroptera, Vespertilionidae. The record is from RefSeq and is a predicted model, not a curated record. The transcript has 3 exons.
CUGGUGUCUGAAGAGCCAGGCUAUGGGCCUCCAUGGAGCCUGGGGACCCAGUUGGCCGCCAGUGCCAGCUGAGCCACGGGGCGACCUGUGCCUCUGCCCCCUCGGGGCUGGUUGAACUUGGAGUUCUCGAGGCCAGCCGUGGAGGCGGGUCGUCGGAGUUCUGGUUUCCUGGUUCUCAGGUUCCAGCCCCUGCUGCGCUGUGCUGCGCGCCUGGGCAGCCGCGGACCUUCCGGGAGUUUGUGAGCCACCGUCACAAUGUUCACGUUUGAUGUGAAGGUCUCCUUCCUCCCCCUUUAAGCUAAAGCGUCUGACGCGAGUCUCUCUCUCCAGGAUGUGAGUCUAACUGCAGGCAGGAGCUGCUCUGUGGUUCUCCGGGCGAUAGAGCGCUGCCCACGACUUUCCCACCCGCGAUGCCCGAGGGAUUAAAUGUCCACAUUGAAGCCAAAAUUGAUUGUGUGUGUGAACUGAAUCACCAACAAUGCAGAAAGAGCGAAGAUAUGCUCACCCGGGCACAGAAGCCAGUGGCAGAGCCGAGCUAAGGGAGACAGUAACGUGUGCUCUCGGCAGCUGUGGGCAGGCUGGGGGUGUGCCAGCGCCUGACACAGCAAGCAGAGGGCACUGCCCACAUCAGACUCCAGAAAGCUCUCUGACAGGUGUGCCACCUGCGUCCUUUGUGCCACCCUGUCCUCUCUGUGCCCGUGGAAUACGCCAUUGAAGCCAGCAGGUCUCUGAAAAGAAGCAAACUCAACACAGGCAGCUUCUUCGCUGCUCGUAGAAUUACACACGGACUCGGAGAGCUCCCCUCCGCCCUCCAGGCCAGGAGCUGUUCUUAUCGCUCCCGACAACCUGCUCCCUGAAUUCACUCACCGCUUGGGUUUGUCAUUGCUGCUCUGGUUGGUCCUUUUGCCCUUUGGGGUGUGCUGUUCAGAAACAAGACCUUCGUUGGAUCGUUUCUCUAUAAUCUAAAGAAAAUGUGCUUUAUCUUGUCUUUAAGGCCACGCUCAAC